GAAAUGCGAUACGUAAUGUGAAUUGCAGAAUUCAGUGAAUCAUCGAAUCUUUGAACGCACCUUGUGCCCCUUGGUAUUCCGAGGGGCACACCCGUUUGAGUGUCGUGAACACCCUCAACCUUCUUGGUUUCUUGACCAGGAAAGGCUUGGACUCUGGAGGUUGUCCUUGCUGGCUUGCCAGCUCCUCCUAAACGAAUUAGUGGGGUCUGCUUUGCUGAUCCUUGACGUGAUAAGUAUGCUUCUACGUCUUGGGUUUUGCACUGUUGCCCUGGAACCUGCUUCCAAUGGCCUUCAUUUCAAAGAUGACGUUCGAGUUGCUUUUGUGACUUGACCUCAGUGACCUUGACCUCAAAUCGGGUGAGACUACCCGCUGAACUUAA
Molecule: unclassified non-coding RNA, 380 nt
Filed under: uncultured Russula
Lineage: Eukaryota; Fungi; Basidiomycota; Agaricomycetes; Russulales; Russulaceae
Description: sequence contains ITS1
Rfam family: 5.8S ribosomal RNA (bases 1-105)
Source: RNAcentral